RNAcentral lists this transfer RNA (63 nucleotides) under Levensteiniella iris. RNAcentral's name for it is "tRNA-Cys". The record is from RNAcentral. Lineage: Eukaryota; Metazoa; Annelida; Polychaeta; Phyllodocida; Polynoidae.
AGUCCUAUAGUUGAAUAACAACAUUAAAUUGCAAACUUAAAAGUGUAUCCUAUACUAAGACUU